AAUAUUGGUCAAUGGGCGAAAGCCUGAUCCAGCCAUGCCGCGUGUGUGAAGAAGGUCUUCGGAUUGUAAAGCACUUUAAGUUGGGAGGAAGGGUUGUAGGUUAAUCCCCUGCAAUUUUGACGUUACCAACAGAAUAAGCACCGGCUAACUUCGUGCCAGCAGCCGCGGUAAUACGAAGGGUGCAAGCGUUAAUCGGAAUUACUGGGCGUAAAGCGCGCGUAGGUGGUUCGGUAAGUUGGAAGUGAAGGCCCCGGGCUCAACCUGGGAACUGCUUUCAAAACUGGCAAGCUAGAGUAGGGCAGAGGGUGGUGGAAUUUCCUGUGGAGCGGUGAAAUGCGUAGAUAUAGGAAGGAACACCAGUGGCGAAGGCGACUACCUGGACUGAUACUGACACUGAGGUGCGAAAGCGUGGGGAGCAAACAGG
RNAcentral lists this ribosomal RNA (424 nucleotides) under uncultured bacterium. RNAcentral describes it as "partial 16S ribosomal RNA". It matches the Rfam family "Bacterial small subunit ribosomal RNA", at positions 360 to 776 of the family's 1533-position model. The record is from RNAcentral.